Molecule: ribosomal RNA, 254 nt
Filed under: uncultured bacterium
Lineage: Bacteria
Description: partial 16S ribosomal RNA
Rfam family: Bacterial small subunit ribosomal RNA
Source: RNAcentral
UACGUAGGGUGCAAGCGUUAAUCGGAAUUACUGGGCGUAAAGCGUGCGCAGGCGGUUUUGUAAGACCGAUGUGAAAUCCCCGGGCUUAACCUGGGAACUGCAUUGGUGACUGGCAGGCUUUGAGUGUGGCAGAGGGAGGUAGAAUUCCACGUGUAGCAGUGAAAUGCGUAGAGAUGUGGAGGAAUACCGAUGGCGAAGGCAGCCUCCUGGGCCAACACUGACGCUCAUGCACGAAAGCGUGGGGAGCAAACAGG